GGAUUUUCCGCGGGUAUGGAAGGUAAAUAGACAACGGACAGUGAAUGGUCCACGGAUGUUUGCGUGCAUUAAGACGCAUAGGGCUCCGAUUGAGUGUCGCCCGAUUGUGGAGGGGCGGAGUGCGCCGACUUGUGGGCUUGAGCGAGCAUUGGUCGGAUGGUGUGGUGGUGUCGUGGGGGAGUCGGAGGGCUCCGUGCGGUCCCCAGAGGAUGUUUUUUGGAGCGAGUAAAGAAUGUGUCUGUAAGCGAGAGUAUGACAUGGGCGACUUGUGACUUUCAAUCUUUGUACCCGUCGUUGAGGCUGGAGCCUGUAUGCCUAUAUUUUUGUCGAUUUGUACUGGAGAAUGUUC
RNAcentral lists this long non-coding RNA (349 nucleotides) under Androctonus crassicauda. The record is from RNAcentral. Lineage: Eukaryota; Metazoa; Arthropoda; Arachnida; Scorpiones; Buthidae.